This 797-nucleotide ribosomal RNA is filed under the name Micrococcus luteus. RNAcentral's name for it is "partial 16S ribosomal RNA". It matches the Rfam family "Bacterial small subunit ribosomal RNA", at positions 637 to 1430 of the family's 1533-position model. Lineage: Bacteria; Bacillati; Actinomycetota; Actinomycetes; Micrococcales; Micrococcaceae. The record is from RNAcentral.
CAGACUAGAGUGCAGUAGGGGAGACUGGAAUUCCUGGUGUAGCGGUGGAAUGCGCAGAUAUCAGGAGGAACACCGAUGGCGAAGGCAGGUCUCUGGGCUGUAACUGACGCUGAGGAGCGAAAGCAUGGGGAGCGAACAGGAUUAGAUACCCUGGUAGUCCAUGCCGUAAACGUUGGGCACUAGGUGUGGGGACCAUUCCACGGUUUCCGCGCCGCAGCUAACGCAUUAAGUGCCCCGCCUGGGGAGUACGGCCGCAAGGCUAAAACUCAAAGGAAUUGACGGGGGCCCGCACAAGCGGCGGAGCAUGCGGAUUAAUUCGAUGCAACGCGAAGAACCUUACCAAGGCUUGACAUGUUCUCGAUCGCCGUAGAGAUACGGUUUCCCCUUUGGGGCGGGUUCACAGGUGGUGCAUGGUUGUCGUCAGCUCGUGUCGUGAGAUGUUGGGUUAAGUCCCGCAACGAGCGCAACCCUCGUUCCAUGUUGCCAGCACGUAAUGGUGGGGACUCAUGGGAGACUGCCGGGGUCAACUCGGAGGAAGGUGAGGACGACGUCAAAUCAUCAUGCCCCUUAUGUCUUGGGCUUCACGCAUGCUACAAUGGCCGGUACAAUGGGUUGCGAUACUGUGAGGUGGAGCUAAUCCCAAAAAGCCGGUCUCAGUUCGGAUUGGGGUCUGCAACUCGACCCCAUGAAGUCGGAGUCGCUAGUAAUCGCAGAUCAGCAACGCUGCGGUGAAUACGUUCCCGGGCCUUGUACACACCGCCCGUCAAGUCACGAAAGUUGGUAACACCCGAAGCCGG